This 493-nucleotide ribosomal RNA is filed under the name uncultured bacterium. RNAcentral describes it as "partial 16S ribosomal RNA". It matches the Rfam family "Bacterial small subunit ribosomal RNA", at positions 30 to 523 of the family's 1533-position model. The record is from RNAcentral.
AUUGAACGCUGGCGGCAUGCUUUACACAUGCAAGUCGAACGGUAACAGGUUAAGCUGACGAGUGGCGAACGGGUGAGUAAUGCAUCGGAACGUGCCCGCUCGUGGGGGAUAACACUUCGAAAGAAGUGCUAAUACCGCAUACGAUCUGAGGAUGAAAGUGGGGGACCGCAAGACCUCGCGCGAUUGGAGCGGCCGAUAUCAGAUUAGGUAGUUGGUGGGGUAAAGGCUCACAAAGCCAACGAUCUGUAGCUGGUCUGAGAGGACGACCAGCCACACUGGAACUGAGACACGGUCCAGACUCCUACGGGAGGCAGCAGUGGGGAAUUUUGGACAAUGGACGCAAGUCUGAUCCAGCCAUUCCGCGUGCAGGAUGACGGCCCUCGGGUUGUAAACUGCUUUUGUACGGAACGAAAAGGUCUCUCUUAAUACGGGGGGCUCAUGACGGUACCGUAAGAAUAAGCACCGGCUAACUACGUGCCAGCCGCCGCAGUAA